This 301-nucleotide ribosomal RNA is filed under the name uncultured bacterium. Its description in RNAcentral is "partial 16S ribosomal RNA". It matches the Rfam family "Bacterial small subunit ribosomal RNA", at positions 509 to 807 of the family's 1533-position model. The record is from RNAcentral.
CAGCCGCCGCGGGAAUACGAAGGGGGCUAGCGUUGCUCGGAAUGACUGGGCGUAAAGGGCGCGUAGGCGGAUUGUUUAGUUAGGCGUGAAAUUCCUGGGCUUAACCUGGGGACUGCGCUUAAUACAGGCAGUCUAGAGUGAGGAAGAGGGUUGUGGAAUUCCCAGUGUAGAGGUGAAAUUCGUGGAUAUUGGGAAGAACACCGGUGGCGAAGGCGGCAACCUGGUCCUUGACUGACGCUGAGACGCGAAAGCGUGGGGAGCAAACAGGAUUAGAUACCCCCGUAGUCCCUGUCUCUUAUAC